This 398-nucleotide ribosomal RNA is filed under the name uncultured bacterium. RNAcentral describes it as "partial 16S ribosomal RNA". It matches the Rfam family "Bacterial small subunit ribosomal RNA", at positions 360 to 776 of the family's 1533-position model. The record is from RNAcentral.
AAUAUUGCACAAUGGAGGAAACUCUGAUGCAGCGCCGCCGCGUGAACGAUGAAGGCUUUCGGGUCUUAAAGGUCUGUCCUAGUGGUCGAUAAUGACGGUACCCUAGGCGGAAGCCCCGGCUACCUACGUUCCAUCAGCCGUGGUAAUACGUAGUGGGCAAGCGUUGUCCGGAUUUAUUGGGCGUAAAGGGUUCGCAGGCUGCCUUGUAAGUCAGAAGUGAAAGACUACAGCUCAACUGUGAUAAUCAUUUGAAACUGAAAGGCUUGAGUUAAGGAGAGGAAAGUGGAAUUCCUAGUGUAGCGGUGAAAUGCGUAGAUAUUAGGAGGAAUACCAGUGGCGAAGGCGACUUUCUGGAAUUAUACUGACGCUGAGGAACGAAAGCGUGGGGAGCAAACAGG